UGCUCGACAUCCUGACUGGCAGCCUGGAGAGCAGACAGCGCAGCAUGGCAGGGGUCUCGCUGCUGUGUUGCCCAGGCUGGCCCUGGGCUCAAGUGAUCUCCUGCUUCAACCUCCUGAGUAGCUGGGACUACAGCCACAUGCCACUACACCUAGCCAAUGCCUUGACCCUGUAAAACUCCUCAUUAGUCUUCUGACCUGCAGAAAUGGAAAAGAAUAAAUUUGAGUUAUUUUAUAACAAAAA
Ictidomys tridecemlineatus (thirteen-lined ground squirrel) is the source of this 241-nucleotide long non-coding RNA. RefSeq lists it as uncharacterized. The record is from RefSeq and is a predicted model, not a curated record. Lineage: Eukaryota; Metazoa; Chordata; Mammalia; Rodentia; Sciuridae.